UUCGUCUUUGCUUUUGGUUGGCCGACUAGCAGCGAAAGAAAGCUUCGGAAGAAAGGUAGGAUAAACGCGUGCACCCACGGCGACUGAUCGUCGCGUGUGGAGAAGCAUCAAGGACUCCACACUUUACACGAAACCCCUCGCAGUUCUUCGUCCUCCCAAACCUCCCCCCACACGCCGCUUCCUCCCCACCCUGUCCCCCUCAUCCCCAAUCUCGCGCGACGCCACCAAACCCUAGCUCCCAAAUUCGGUCGACGGGGAGGGGGAGGGAGGGAGGGAGGCCGGAGACGGGCCCCGCUCGCCGGCGCCGAUGGAGGUGAAGCUGUGGAACGACAAGCGCGAGCGGGAGCUCCUGGAGAGCCUGGCCGACCUGUACGCGAUCAUCAAGGCCACGGAGAAGCUGGAGCGCGCCUACGUCCGCGACCUCGUCUCCGCCGCCGACUACGAGGCCGACUGCCUCAAGCUCAUCUCCCAGUUCAACUCCCUAUCCUCCUCCCUCGCCGGGGUCGUCACCAUACCGCGCUUCGUGCAGGCCUACCGCCUCGACUGCCCCGCCGCCCUCAACCGCCUCGUCCAGUCCGGCGUCCCCGCCACCAUCGAGCUCCGCGCCGCCACCGCCUCCUCCUCCGCUCCGCCCGCCACCGCGGCCUCCGCCUCCGCCAUCGCCCAGUGCGUCCAGAGCUUCAUCACCGCCAUGGACGCCCUCAAGCUCAACAUGCUCGCCAACGACCAGGUCCGCCCCCUGCUCCACGACCUCUCCACCUCCAUGGGGAAGCUCGGUACCGUCCUGCCGCCCGACUUCGAGGGGAAGGUCAAGGUGAACGAGUGGCUCGCAAGGCUGCAUAAGAUGGGGGCUGGGGACGAGCUCACAGAUCAGCAGGCCAGACAGCUCAAUUUUGAUCUGGAAUCAGCUUAUAGUGCGUUUAUGGCCUCGCUUCCCACUGCUGGCAUGCCACAACCCCACCCCCCCAUAAAAGGGAAAAAGAGAAAAAAAAAUCUGUCAUUGGAGUUAUUUUACCUGCUUGCCUGUUUAUAUCCUCCUAGCUUUCCCUCAUUUUGUGUCUUUUGUCUUUACACUAUACCCGAUUCCGUGCAUUCUCAGAAGUCAAGAAGCAGAAAAAUACACCCAAAAAAUUGCAAAUCCAUGACAGGGGUGGCACUGGUUGGUUUGCAAUUGGCAGCAUCUCCGAUCCUGAAGAAGCUCCUCACAGAUGCUUCAACAUACCUUGGGGUUGACAUGGCGAGCGAGCUCCAUGAACUGGAGACCACCAUCAUGCCACAGUUUGAGCUGAUGAUUGAAGCAGCUAACAAGGGCCAUCACAGGGUCAAGUUGGACAAAUGGGUCCAGGAGCUCAAAGAAGCCUUCUACAAAGCCGAAGACCUGCUGGACAUGCAUGAGUACGACCUCCUCGAGCGCAAAGCAAAGAGUGGGGGAGAUUCCUCGCCACCCCGUGCCUCAUCAAUCGGCACUAUCUUGAAGCCUCUGCGUACUGCUUCUAACAGGUUAUGUAAUCUCUUCCCAAAGAACAAGAAGCUACUUGACCAGCUGAAUGAACUGAAGGCCAUUCUGGUGAAAGGCAAGGAGUUGCGUGAGCUUCUUUGCAUACCAGCUGGUAAUAGUACAGAGAGCCCCGUUGUUCCUCAGGCCACAUCAUUACCACCUCUGAAAGUAAUAGGUCGUGACAAGGAUCGUGAUAAUAUAAUAGACCUUCUUACCAAGCCAGUUGCUGUUGAGGCUAAUUCAGCUAUAUAUGCGGGUUUGGCCAUUGUUGGAGCAGGAGGUAUGGGAAAAUCCACCUUGGCACAACAUGUUUACAAUAACAAGAGGGUACAAGAACAUUUUGAUGUCAGGAUGUGGGUGUGCAUCUCACGCAAACUCGAUGUCCAUCGUCAUACACGGGAGAUUAUCGAAUCCGCAGCUAAGAAGGAGUGCCCACGUCUUGAUAAUCUGGAUACUCUCCAGUGCCAAUUAAGGGACAUACUGCAGAAGUCAGAGAAAUUCUUGCUUGUAUUGGAUGAUGUUUGGUUUGAUGAUUCGAGUAGUCAGAUGGAAUGGGACCAACUGUUAGCUCCCCUGGUUUCUCAGCACAAGGGAAGUAAAGUUUUGGUAACUUCUCGACGGGAUACAUUUCCUUCUGCUCUUUACUGUGAAAAGGUGCUCCGUUUGGAAAGCAUGGAAGAUACUCAGUUCUUGGCACUCUUCAAAUACUAUGCCUUCACUGGAGCACAAAUUAGAGACACUCUGUUGCUUCAAAGGCUAGAAGCGAUUGCAGAGGAGAUAGCUAAAAGGCUUGGACAGUCUCCUUUGGCUGCAAAAGUUGUUGGUUCCCAGUUGAAAGGGAAAAUGAAUGUCCCUUCCUGGAAAGAUGCUCUGACGUUAAAAAUUGACAAUUUAAGUGAGCCUAGAACAGCUCUGCUGUGGAGUUACCAGAAGUUAGAUCCACGUCUGCAGAGGUGCUUUGUAUAUUGCAGCUUGUUUCCGAAAGGACACAAGUAUAACAUUGAUGAGUUGGUUCACUUGCUGAUAGCAGAGGGGCUUGUUGAUCCAUGCAACCAGGACAGGAGAUUGGUAGAUGUUGGAAAGGAUUACCUGAAUGAGAUGGUUUCUGGGUCUUUCUUGCAACCAUUUUCUGAAAGACCUAUGGACACAUACUACAUUAUGCAUGAUCUUCUUCAUGAUUUGGCAGAAUCGCUCUCUAAAGAAGACUGUUUCAGAUUAGAAGAUGAUGAGAUGUCAGAAAUACCAUGCACCGUCCGUCAUCUCUCUGUUCGAGUUGAGAGUAUGAAACAACAUCAGCGCAGUAUCUCCAAGCUACAUCAUUUGCGCACUGUUAUCUGCAUUGACCCACUUACAGAUGAUGUGAGUGAUGUUUUCCACCAGGUACUGCAAAAUUUGAAGAAGUUACGUGUACUCUAUUUGUGCUUCUACAAUAGUAACAAGCUACCUGAAUCUGUUGGUGAGCUGAAGCACCUUCGGUAUUUAAACCUCAUUAGAACUUCCAUAGCCGAAUUGCCUGGAUCAUUAUGUGUUCUUUACCACCUGCAGUUACUUCUGUUAAACCAUAAAGUUAAGAAUUUGCCUCACAAACUCUGCAAAUUAAGCAAGUUACGGCAUCUUGAAGGGUAUCAUGAUCUGGGAUACAGGAUGUAUGAAGUAGCUCUGCCUCAAAUCCCUUAUGUAGGCAAGCUAACUUUUCUCCAGCAUUAUAAAGAAUUUUGUGUGCAAAAACAGAAGGGGUGUGAGUUGCGGCAGCUCAGAGAUAUGAAAGAGCUUGGUGGCAGUUUAAGAGUCAGAAAUCUCGAGAAUGUCACUGGAAAGGAUGAAGCCUUAGAGGCGAAGCUAUAUCAGAAAAGUCAUAUCGGAAGCUUGAACCUUGUCUGGAGUUGCAAUAAUGGCAUGAAUGCAGAUGAUAGCUUACAGUUGGAGAUUCUAGAAGGCUUGAUGCCACCGCCUCAACUGAAGGGCCUCAAAAUCAAGGGUUACAGAUCUACCGCAUAUCCACGUUGGUUACUUGAGGGUUCGCAUUUUGAGAACUUGGAAUCUUUUAAGCUUGUCAAUUGCAGUGCGUUAGAAGGCCUGCCACUCAAUGCCGAGCUCUUCAGGCAUUGCUCUGAACUGAAGCUCAAGAAUGUCUGCACUCUGAAAACAUUAUCUUAUCUUCCAGCAGCCCUCACACACUUAUCAAUUAGCAGUUGCCCACUGCUUAUGUUUAUUGCCAAUGAUGAGCUAGAACAGCAUGAUCAGAAGGAGAACGUCAUGAGCGCAGACUACUUGGCAUCACAACUUGCUUUGAUAUGGGAGGUGGAUUCUGGAUCGAAAAUUAAGGAAGUAUUAUCGACAGAACAUUCAUCUCUGAAGCAAAUGAUGACAUUAAUGGAUGCUGACAUGUCACAUCUUAAAACCAUCGCAAGUGCUGUAGAAAGAGAUAAUUGCAAUGUAAUGCUGAAAGAUGAUAUCAUUAAGGCGUGGAUAUGCUGCCACGAGCAGAGGAUGAAAUUCAUUUAUGGAAGAAGCAUCGGCUUGUCGUUGGUUCCACCGUCAGGUCUUUGUCGACUUCAUCUUUAUUCGUGCAGUAUUACGGAUGGGGCAUUAGCCGUUUGUCUUGAUGGUCUCACGUCAUUGAGAAGAUUGUCUUUAGAGGAGAUCAUGACUUUAACUACACUUCCGUCGCAAGAGGUCCUCCAAAAUUUGACAAAGCUGGAAUACCUGUUCAUCAAAUGUUGCUGGUGCUUCAAGUCAUUAGGAGGCUUACGUGCUACUACCUCUCUUUCGGAGGUUCGAUUGAUUUCCUGCCCUUCGUUAGACUUGGCACAUGGAGCAGGUGUAUUGCCGUUGUCUCUUGAGGAGCUCUGUAUACACCAUUGCAUGGUUCCUGAUAAUUUCUUCAGUGGUGAUUUGCCGUGCCUGAAAAGACUUAGUAUGUUUGGCUGCAGAAGCUCCACAUCCUUGUCUAUAGGUCAUCUGACCUCCCUUGUAUCCUUAUCACUGGGAAUAUUCCCUGAUCUGUGCUUUCUUGAAGGCUUGCCUUUCCUGCAAUUUCACGAAGUACAUUUGACAGAUGUCCCGAAUCUCGAUGUGAAGUGCAUUUCACAGUUUCGGGUCGAGAAAUAUCUCUAUAUUAGCAGCCCCAUAAUGCUCAACCACAUGCUCUCGGCUGAAGGUUUUACAGUUCCACCAUUUCUGUCUCUUGAAAGAUGCAAGGAGCCAUCCGUUUCAUUUGAAGAAUCAGCAGAUUUCACACCUGUUAAGUGCCUGAGGUUACGUGAUUGCGAGAUGAGUUCCCUACCAAGAAAUCUGAAGUGCUUCUCCAACCUGGCGAAACUCGAAAUCCACAUGUGUCCCAAUAUAUCAUCUUUACCAGAUCUGCCAUCCUCCCUUCAGCACAUAGUUGUGUGGAAUUCUGAAGUAUUGCAGAAGAGCUGCCGAGCACCUGACGGGGAAAGCUGGCCAAAGAUUGAGCAUAUCCGCUGGAAGAGAUUCACAGAAUUUCCAUAGUCACAAAUAUAAAGAAAAAAGGUAA
Hordeum vulgare subsp. vulgare (domesticated barley) is the source of this 5018-nucleotide RNA transcript. It is a transcript of the gene named putative disease resistance protein RGA3, with no coding region annotated. The record is from RefSeq and is a predicted model, not a curated record. The transcript is spliced from 2 exons. Lineage: Eukaryota; Viridiplantae; Streptophyta; Magnoliopsida; Poales; Poaceae.